This 254-nucleotide ribosomal RNA is filed under the name uncultured bacterium. Its description in RNAcentral is "partial 16S ribosomal RNA". It matches the Rfam family "Bacterial small subunit ribosomal RNA", at positions 524 to 776 of the family's 1533-position model. The record is from RNAcentral.
UACGUAGGGUGCGAGCGUUGUCCGGAAUUAUUGGGCGUAAAGAGCUCGUAGGCGGUCUGUCGCGUCGAUCGUGAAAACUUGGGGCUUAACCCUGAGCUUGCGGUCGAUACGGGCAUGACUGGAGUUCGGCAGGGGAGACUGGAAUUCCUGGUGUAGCGGUGAAAUGCGCAGAUAUCAGGAGGAACACCGGUGGCGAAGGCGGCAUCCUGGACCAAUUCUGACGCUGAGGAGCGAAAGCCAGGGGAGCAAACGGG